This is a long non-coding RNA of Suricata suricatta (meerkat), 861 nucleotides long. RefSeq lists it as uncharacterized. NCBI's taxonomy places the organism in Eukaryota, Metazoa, Chordata, Mammalia, Carnivora, Herpestidae. The record is from RefSeq and is a predicted model, not a curated record. The transcript is spliced from 5 exons.
GAAGCCCAUGGCAGGAGGGAACUGGUCCAUUCUUCUCACUGUCUCCUAUCAUCUAGUCCUAUGCCUGGCACAGGCAUUUGCUUUGCGUCUAUCAGAAGAAGGAAUGAAUUCACAAAAAUGGCAAGGAAUACAGAUAUGUGAAAAUCCUUUCAAUGUUAGAAAUCAUCAAACAUGGAUCACAGGAACUGAGGAAUGGGAGCUGUUGGAAGAGUAGCCAUUAACAUUAAAUCAGCCUAUGAGGAGGCCCAGAUGACAAGGAGCUAAAGUCUCUAGCCAACAGACAGUGAGAAGGUAAAGUCUGCCAAUAACCAUGGAAGUGAACUUGUGACUAGAUCCUUCGACCUGGUCGUCUCGAGAUGACUACAGUACCAGCUGGCAUCUUGACUGCAACCUCUAGAGAAACCCUGAGCCAGAAACAAACAGAGGAAGCAACAGCAACUCAGAGAGGUUACAGGAUUUAACCAAGCCCACAAGCCUGAAGCUGGAAUAUGAAACAAGGCAACUUGACACCAGAGUCCUGGAUCUUAUUUUUAAUAAGGGAAGUCACCUGAAUGAAGCUUAAGAUUUAAAAGUAAAAAAAACCAUGCAGAAGAGGAGCCAACAUAUCUGUUAAAAGGCAAGAACAGGACCAACGAUAUGGCCAAAGACAAGCACUUGUGAUUAAUGCAGUUGCAUAGGUAACGAUUCCUUAUGCAAAUAAACAGAAAACUGCAAGGUUCGGGUUCAAAGUAAAGAUUGCAAGAAAAUAAUGUUAGAAGAGAACACGGCCGCCGACAUAUGUAAAAGUUGAAUACUUCUUCAGAAUGGGAAAUAGGUUAAGUUUGUCGUGGUCAUUCUUGCCUUAAACAUCAAUAAAUACAG